RNAcentral lists this long non-coding RNA (317 nucleotides) under Mustela putorius furo (domestic ferret). RNAcentral describes it as "lncRNA (ENSMPUG00000030026.1)". Lineage: Eukaryota; Metazoa; Chordata; Mammalia; Carnivora; Mustelidae. The record is from RNAcentral.
UUCUAAAAAUAAUUCACUUUGGACCAAUAUUUUUCCGUGUUUUAAUCAGAAAAUUUGCUUUCAUUUUAGAUGAAACCAAAAAGAAAGAAAUGGAAAAAGAGAGAGUGUGAAGACCAUUUCCUCUAUUUGAGACACACCUCAGGAGCUACUUAUAGCUCUUGUCGACCAAAACCAAAAUGCCCACAUACCCCAGGAUAACAAUUUACCUGUUGUCAUCCACUUCUCGCUGUUAUCCAAGAUCUGUUUAGAAAAUGGUAAGAUCCCUUUACCCAUCCAAAUUAGGGUCAACUCUGAUGAGCAGCUAGAGUGAGAAUUCA